GUCCCUGUAGCGCAAUGGAUAGCAAGUUGGACUUCUCAUCCAAAGGUCGUGGGUUCGAAUCCCACCUGGGAUG
Molecule: transfer RNA, 73 nt
Filed under: Trichonephila inaurata madagascariensis
Lineage: Eukaryota; Metazoa; Arthropoda; Arachnida; Araneae; Nephilidae
Rfam family: tRNA
About the family: Transfer RNA (tRNA) molecules are approximately 80 nucleotides in length.
Source: Rfam by way of RNAcentral